AUUUCCGGCGUUGACUCCAAUUGAACCGCAGGCUUCACCCCUUGUGGUGCUCCCCCGCCAAUUCCUUUAAGUUUCAGUCUUGCGACCGUACUCCCCAGGCGGCAGACUUAACGGCUUCCCUGCGGCACUGGGCUGGCACAAGGCUAGCCCAUCACCGAGUCUGCAUCGUUUACAGCUGGGACUACCCGGGUAUCUAAUCCGGUUUGCUCCCCCAGCUUUCAUCCCUCACCGUCGAGCGCGUUCUGGCAAGCCGCCUUCGCCACUGGUGGUCUUCAGUGGAUCAGUGGAUUUUACCCCUACCCACUAAGUACCGCUUGCCUCUCCCGCCUCCUAGCCCUGUAGUAUCCUCCGCAGCCCAUCUGUUGAGCAGGUGGAUUUAACGGAGGACUUGCAGAACAAGCUACGGAUGCUUUAGGCCCAAUAAUCGUCCCGACCACUCGGGGUGCUGGUAUUACCGCGGCGGCUGACACCAGACUUGCCCACCCCUUAUUCUGCACCAUUUUUAGAGGUGCCAAAAGAUGCCCUUAGCGGGCAUCACUCAGAGUAACCCUGUCAAGCUUUCGCCUAUUGCAGAGGUUUCGCGCCUGCUGCGCCCCAUAGGGCCUGGGCCCUUGUCUCAGUGCCCAUCUCCGGGCUCCUUCUCUCAAAGCCCGUACCGGUUAUUGGUUUGGUGGGCCAUUACCCCACCAACAGCCUGAUCGGCCGCAGUCCAAUCCAGGGGCCAUAUAGGUUUCAGCCAUUGUCCAUUCCAGAAACCUUGGCCUAUCGCAGUUUAUCCUCAGUUUCCCGAGGUUAUCCACGUCCCCUGGGCAUGUUGACUACGUGUUACUGAGCCGUAUGCCACGCCUUGCGGCGUUGACUCGCAUGGCUUAGCCCCACUCUGAUAGCAGUCGGGUCCCGGCAGGAUCAACCGGAAAAU
This 919-nucleotide ribosomal RNA is filed under the name uncultured crenarchaeote. RNAcentral's name for it is "partial 16S rRNA". The record is from RNAcentral. Lineage: Archaea; Thermoproteati; Thermoproteota.